Molecule: long non-coding RNA, 334 nt
Filed under: Ananas comosus (pineapple)
Lineage: Eukaryota; Viridiplantae; Streptophyta; Magnoliopsida; Poales; Bromeliaceae
Description: long non-coding RNA (ACOM_LNC043530)
Source: RNAcentral
GUGUGACCUAAUAGGUUCAAUUCUGUCUGGUAGUGAGAUAUGAUGAGAUCUCCAUCUACAUCAUCAUCGAAACUCUUUUCGAUGGCUCAAACUCUUUUGAUUCCACCCUAAUAGAAUAAUUAAUUAUUAAUAAUUAUUUCUAUUGGUUCCCACAAUCCACCAGUGACGCCUAGCAGCAUGUAGUGGCAAUCCAGUCAGAAGUGAAUAUCGGACUGAACCUCUAGGUGCAGUUACCGUACAAUACAAUCCUUCUAUCGCAUAGUUCCAACUGAGUGGAGGUCAUGGAAUAUUCGUCAAACCCCAUCACCCGUCAUAUGACAAAUUUGAUCAGACA